RNAcentral lists this Y RNA (108 nucleotides) under Propithecus coquereli (Coquerel's sifaka). Its description in RNAcentral is "Y RNA (ENSPCOG00000009406.1)". It matches the Rfam family "Y RNA". From Rfam's summary of the family: Y RNAs are components of the Ro ribonucleoprotein particle (Ro RNP), in association with Ro60 and La proteins. The Y RNAs and Ro60 and La proteins are well conserved, but the function of the Ro RNP is not known. Lineage: Eukaryota; Metazoa; Chordata; Mammalia; Primates; Indriidae. The record is from Rfam by way of RNAcentral.
AGCUGGUCCAAAGGUAGUGAGUUAUCUCACUUGAUUGCUCACAGUCAGUUACAGAUUGCACUACUUCUACUCUUCCCCCUUCUCACUGCUGCACUUGACUUGUCAAAA